AACAAAACAAAAACCAAAAAACAAACAAACAAACAAACACCAGUACAACCCCAAAUAUAGACAAGCAGCUCUCUUUGUACCACUGGAGCUUGCUGUCACAGCUCAAGCAGAGGAAAUAGUAGAUUUGCCUGUGUACGUUCGGGGUUAUGCCAACUCAGUGACACUUGGUGUCUGUAAUACACGCAAAUCCUUAAUGUACACAAAAUCUUCCCUGCCUCCCCUAAUCAUAUGCAUCCUGCAAACAGGCCAGAACUCGUGGAUUAAAUCUACUGAGGCCCAAAAUAAAUUAAAUCUCCGAAUCACAGUAAGCUUGCAAGCCGCGGCCAUUCAAAUUGAAGUUUGUCAUUAUUUACGUCAAUUUUCCUGGCCUCCCACACAGCCUGCAAGUACCCAAUGUUCCUACAGCAACAGCAGAGCCCGUACUCUGUGUCCUGGUACUGCUGAGAAAGUUAGUUCUUUUAAAGACAACACAAAGUAAAAGAAAUGCCCUUCUUCUGAUGACUCUAGGGAAACACAAUAUACCCUCAGGGAUACGUUGCAUCCUCAGGAGGGAAUUACCGGGGUUCCUAACUCCCGAUGGCUGGGGCAAUAAACAUUACACAAGCAACUGUUUGCUCAGGGAGCAUUUUUUCCCCAGCAAUCCGGCAAUUCCCCAGCACACCUCCCACAGCAGCUGGCCGGGCACCUUCUGCGGCCCAGGCAGGUAUGGCCCAAGCCUCACAAACCGAUGCUCGGCCCUACAGUGGGCACGAGCUCAGGAUCAAAGCCGUGACGUGGGAGCCUGAAGACAUCCCAAUUGCCCAUCCACUUUGCUCGCCCCUUCUCCUCUUCCCCUCCGCAGGGGCACCACUGGGGCCAGGGGAUCGCACCGCCGCGGCCGCCGGCCUGUCACACCUGGCUUUUCUCCUCCUGCUUGGGGCUCUGGGCCGACGACGAGGAUGGUGGCGGCGGUGGAGGUGGCGGCGCGGCCUGCGGCUCGCUCUCGGCACGCUGGUGCCUGCUGACGAGCGACUUGAGGGGCGCCAUCCACUUCAUCCAGAGGUCCAGGUCGACGUCGCCCCACGGCAGGUUGGGGUCCUUGGCCGCCCGCCGCCGAAAGUCCUCGUCGUAGCUCAUCCACGAGGUGCCCCCGUAGGUGGCGUGCAGCUUGCGGAUGAGAUCCGAACCUUCUCGUAG
Molecule: long non-coding RNA, 1176 nt
Filed under: Anser cygnoides (Swan goose)
Lineage: Eukaryota; Metazoa; Chordata; Aves; Anseriformes; Anatidae
Description: lncRNA (ENSACDG00005001779.1)
Source: RNAcentral